AGGAGGCAAGCUGGAGCGUGCAAAUGAUCUAUGUUGUUACAUUGGUUAAGUGAAUUUGAAAUGUAAUGUCUGUUGGUUCCUAAAUGGGAAAUAUGCUUCAAGGUAUGCUCUGAACACUAUCAGAUACAUGAAUCCUUAAAGAGUCUCGAGUCUUGAAUCCAACAGUACUCUCUUUUCAGUAUACUGGACAUGUAUCAUACAGCGUCAUUGGAAGCUUCCCUUUAAUUGACUUGCGAUAAUGACUAAUUGAAUUGUGAAUGCCUUCAGAGCGUGAGGAAAUUCUUACUUUUUACUUGUUAGACAUUCUUAGGCAGCUAUUAGUUUGUUAUCUUUAUUCGUGCCAUAACAGAAUACUUUCAACUACAUACCAAACAGAUGAGGGCUAAAUUACGUCUAGUCAACUAGAAAAAACUGUAACUGUAAGGUAUCAUCGUUCGACGACGAUCAGAGUGUACCCGGAAACCAAAUGGAAAAACAGGCUCCACUCUCCGUUGAACUGAAUCAUUAGCCCGAUUUUAAUUUUGGACUGCAUGAUUAGAGGAGGAAAUCUGAUGUGAUACUAGAUACAAACAUACACAUCUGAUUUAUCCUAUUUUGGAUUGCACUAGCCUUCUUGCGGGCCAACAAAAAAUAUUUUUCCAAGUUUUGAGGAUUGCAUGAUCCAUGCAUUUGUCGAUUUAUCCUCAUACUUGAAGUAAAUUAUCCUCAUUCUUUUGGUAAAUAAUCCUCACAGCUAGUAUGAAACGGCUGUCAUGGAAUGAACAAAGUAAAAAAUCAGAUAUUAUCAUGCUAUUUAAAUGGAUCAGUAUCACAACCCAAACUAACAUCCGCAUACAAAGUACAAAUUAUAAGAGAAAGUUCUGAAAAAAGUAACGCUUCCUUCAAUGUCAUAACUCAUAGUAAUUACUAAUUACCCACCUCAUACCUUCCCUUUCAAUACAAUCUUUCAUUCACAGUACUCCUCGCAUAUAAAACCCACAUUCAUCCUGCCAAUAUAUUCAGAUCAAGCAAAAAAGAAAACCAUGGCAGCGGAUCCAAAGCAAGGAGCUAUAGUGAAGACGGGCCACGGAGAAGUAAUGAAGAUGGUGGUAUUGCUCCUUGGAGAGUUCGAGCUCCCCGAAGGGCUGCUGCCGUUGGAAGCUGCAAUAGAGACAGGGUACAAUAAGGAAACUGGCUAUUUUUGGAUCGUGCGGAAAAAGGCAGUAACGCAUGAGUUCAAGAUAAUUAGCAAGCAGGUCAGUUACGACUCAGAGAUUACUGGCUACAUUGAGAAAAAGAAGGUGAAAACGCUAAAAGAUGUCAAGGCCAAGGGGGUUGUUAUUGUGGCCUCCGGUGAACGAGAUCAUUGCAGAUGAUCCCCCACCGAAAAGGGACCAUUGGUGGUAUUACCAAGACUUUCCCCGUCGAGGCAUUUGCCGCCAGCCAGUUGCUUAGUAUAAUGUUCACGUUCAUUUUGCUACUUGUUUGCCUACAUAUCUAAUUUACUGUUGUUCUCCAGCAUCUUGGUAUACUUAAAUUAGUAUCUUGUAGGCCAUGUUUCUUCUUUAAUUGUCCCGCUACUGGAAAUAAAAUGGAUGGUGUUUGACCAAAAAUUGGAUUUUUACCCUGACCACAUGGGUAUUUAAUAGUUAGCUGGGUUAAUAGUUAGCUUAGCAUAAUAGGGAAUUAAUGGUGGUUUGUUGAUAUUACCAAUUGCAAGCUACAAAGAGAACAUGGAUCAACUCACUUUAAUAUAAAUGGGUGAUAAUCCACAUGGCAGGGUGUAAUUAGAACAAAAAUAAUGAAUUCACAAGGUGAUGUGUUUACGUCUUAACAAAAAAAAAA
This 1824-nucleotide long non-coding RNA is filed under the name Linum usitatissimum (flax). RNAcentral's name for it is "long non-coding RNA (LUSI_LNC007044)". Lineage: Eukaryota; Viridiplantae; Streptophyta; Magnoliopsida; Malpighiales; Linaceae. The record is from RNAcentral.